GACGAACGCUGGCGGCGUGCUUAACACAUGCAAGUCGAACGGAAAGGCCCUGCUUUUGUGGGGUGCUCGAGUGGCGAACGGGUGAGUAACACGUGAGUAACCUGCCCUUGACUUUGGGAUAACUUCAGGAAACUGGGGCUAAUACCGGAUAGGAGCUCCUGCUGCAUGGUGGGGGUUGGAAAGUUUCGGCGGUUGGGGAUGGACUCGCGGCUUAUCAGCUUGUUGGUGGGGUAGUGGCUUACCAAGGCUUUGACGGGUAGCCGGCCUGAGAGGGUGACCGGCGACAUUGGGACUGAGAGACGGCCCAGACUCCUACGGUAGGCAGCAGUGGGGAAUAUGGCGCAAUGGGCGGAAGCCUGAUGCAGCAACGCCGCGUGCGGGAUGACGUCCUACGAGUUGUAAACCGCUGUCGCCUGUGACGAAGCGUGAGUGACGGUAAUGGGUAAAGAAGCACCGGCUAACUACGUG
This 468-nucleotide ribosomal RNA is filed under the name uncultured bacterium. RNAcentral's name for it is "partial 16S ribosomal RNA". It matches the Rfam family "Bacterial small subunit ribosomal RNA", at positions 28 to 507 of the family's 1533-position model. The record is from RNAcentral.